Molecule: long non-coding RNA, 337 nt
Filed under: Setaria viridis
Lineage: Eukaryota; Viridiplantae; Streptophyta; Magnoliopsida; Poales; Poaceae
Description: long non-coding RNA (SVIR_LNC000021)
Source: RNAcentral
AAUUCAUGAAUAAUUUUUAAUUGCAAGUAUUACAAUUUUGCAUAUUAAGAGUGACUGAAUCCGCCGACGAGGAUUCUAAUUCCAACGGCUCAAUUGGAUCGUAUUCUACUCCACCUGAGUACGAACCAAGCCCACCUAGGACUCGCAGGCAUCUAGAUGAAGAUGAUCCCGAAUACAAUCCAACUGCGGAUCAUCAGGUACCUGCAUGCACAUCAUAUACUAGCUAGUGAUAUGUUUGUUGUUUACAUGAAGAUGAUAAACUCCAGCUAUUGUUUUCUCUAUAGAACGAUGACCAAUCCCCGGUUCAUUCACCGCCGCUACAUCGUAGAACAUCAAC